Molecule: ribosomal RNA, 626 nt
Filed under: uncultured Actinobacteridae bacterium
Lineage: Bacteria; Bacillati; Actinomycetota; Actinomycetes
Description: bacterial SSU rRNA
Rfam family: Bacterial small subunit ribosomal RNA
Source: RNAcentral
GUGAGGUAACGGCUCACCAAGGCGACGACGGGUAGCUGGUCUGAGAGGAUGGUCAGCCACAUUGGGACUGAGAUACGGCCCAGACUCCUACGGGAGGCAGCAGUGGGGAAUAUUGCGCAAUGGCCGCAAGGCUGACGCAGCGACGCCGCGUGUGGGAUGGAGGCUUUCGGGUCGUAAACCACUGUCGGGGGGGGGACGAAUACUCGGCCUCGAAUAGGGGACCGAGGGUGACGGUACCCCCAAAGGAAGCACCGGCUAACUCCGUGCCAGCAGCCGCGGUAAUACGGAGGGUGCAAGCGUUGUCCGGAAUCACUGGGCGUAAAGCGCGCGUAGGCGGCUUUUUAAGUCACUUGUGAAAUCCCGGGGCUCAACUCCGGGGCUGCAGGUGAGACUGGAUGGCUAGAGCUCGGUAGAGGCGAGUGGAAUUCCCGGUGUAGCGGUGGAAUGCGUAGAUAUCGGGAAGAACACCAGUGGCGAAGGCGGCUCGCUGGGCCGGUGCUGACGCUGAGGCGCGAAAGCGUGGGGAGCAAACAGGAUUAGAUACCCUGGUAGUCCACGUCGUAAACGAUGGGUACUAGGCGUCGGGGGGAGCGACCCCUUCGGUGCCGCAGCUAACGCACUAAGUA